Molecule: long non-coding RNA, 1039 nt
Organism: Hypomesus transpacificus
Lineage: Eukaryota; Metazoa; Chordata; Actinopteri; Osmeriformes; Osmeridae
Exons: 2
Source: RefSeq, a predicted model, not a curated record
CCUUGUCUGUCUGACUGACGUCGCUUUUGGAUGUCUGGAGUUUUAGGGUUAGCAUAAUGCUUUAGAGUUGCAUAUAGGGUUCUUUUUGUUUCCGUCUGUCUUUUUUUGUGGUUAAAACUUUACGAGGUUGUGUUUGCAAAAGGGCCUACAGCUCUGACCCUGAGUGGCUCGCGGGAAACACGUGAUGCCAUUAAACUAAAUUUUAUGGUUUGGGAGAGCUGACAAACCUUCCUCUCAAUGUAUUUACAUCAUAUAUAAUCUUAACUGUCGUGAAUCCCAGCUGUUGGGAACCGUUAUCUAAGUGGAUGGAGGCGAAUGACGCGUUUACUGAGGAUUAUCUUGCCCCCAACGAUCAGCACUCUUCUUUGACUCAAGCAAAUGGUUCCCAGACGGUACAGCACACACUCUGCAAUGAUCACUGAAGAGAAAGCGUGUUUGCCUAUAACUACAGACAAUUCCCAUCCCCUUUGAACAGCCACCAUAUCACGUGGGCACUGGGAACCUAUGAGGAAUUUUACUUGAGGGCUCCUCUUGACCAGACCUUCUUGAGAAAUGUUGGCAGAGAACCAGUCAGACCUGACAAGAAACUCAAUUUAGAGGCUGGCCAUGCAGCCAUAAUGGUCAUGUUGUCUCUUGACAAUUUGGGUUUUGGAAUCACAUUUUAAAUUACAGCUGAUUGGCCAAAAUGUGUGUAUUCACAAACACAUCAUUCAGAUGUCAUAGUCAUUUAACCACUGUGCAUAUGUUUAAAACAUAUUUCAUAGAAUUACAGAGGAACAAAUCUUUUAAUUUGUAAUUACAUUUUUUAAUCUUUCAAAACCCUCAAAUCUAACCCAACUCCAACCAACAAACAUGAACAUUCACUUUGUCACUUUAUUAUAACCAUGUAAUGUAGCAUUUGAAUGCAAAAGAAGAUAUCCGAAAUGGAUGUUUACAUGUGUAAAAAUGUUAGGCUAAAUAAAUGUUAUAAUUAAUAGCCUCUGAAUGUGCCAUCCUUCGUUCCUUUUAAACAAUCAUGAUAAUAAAACAUUAAAAUGAA